GGGUAUUGGGGGGGGUGUUGGGGCGCUGGCAUCUUGUUCACUCCAUGCUAACCAGUCCCUGCAGAAGGCCCUCUUCCUUGGGAGGCGUCCUGACUUAAACAGCAUGCUCACCCUGUCUCCGGCUCUGUCCUCACUGAGCUUAAGGACCUGGAUUCAGAACUCCACCAGAAGAUUAGGGGAGAGGCCACAGCCCUUCCCUACUAGAGUUUUCAGAGUUAGGAACGACCUGGCCCAGGCUGCAGCUAGUAGGCUGGUUUGUUGGGCAGUAAUUUGCAGGGUGGUGGGGACUGGGCUGGUAAUGGGAACCUGGUCCCUCCUGUUGGCUUUCAUGAAGCUCUGGGCUGGGGCUUUAAAAACUGCCGUCCAAAGAUGAGGCUUGAGCACCUGCAGUUAGGCCAGGACUAACCUUCCUCUCUGUACUGAGGAGCAGGUCUGCCCUCAGGGACAUCUCUGGUUGGUAGGCAGCCUUACUGGUCUUUCCUUGGAUGACAGAUAGGAAAAAGGGGUCUAUAGCAUCAGCUGGGAACAGGCUUGGACCUGA
RNAcentral lists this long non-coding RNA (541 nucleotides) under Rattus norvegicus (Norway rat). RNAcentral describes it as "long non-coding RNA NONRATT008197". The record is from RNAcentral. Lineage: Eukaryota; Metazoa; Chordata; Mammalia; Rodentia; Muridae.